Molecule: long non-coding RNA, 762 nt
Organism: Rosa rugosa (rugosa rose)
Lineage: Eukaryota; Viridiplantae; Streptophyta; Magnoliopsida; Rosales; Rosaceae
Exons: 4
Source: RefSeq, a predicted model, not a curated record
ACCCCGGCCGACUCACUCCACAACCCUAAACCCUAAAUCCACCGCCUCUGAAGGCCCGAAUCUCUGGUGCGAAGCUUUCGAAGCCCUAAGUCGGAGAUUUGUCUUCGAAUCUGCCUUUCAGGUGUUGAUUUCGGGUUCUUCACAAAGCACUCUUUUGCUCUGGGGUUUUGACUAACUGGAGAUUCUGAUAAAGGUGUUGAUUUCGGGUUCUUCACAAAGCACUCUUUUGAUUUGGGGUUUUGACGAACUGGAGAUUCUGAUAAAGGUGCAGCUAAUGAAAGAAUAGAUAAUGUGUUAGUCGAUCUUAUUGAUUAGCGAGGGAUGGUUCUUCUUUUUAAACCCCUUACAUCUGAUAAAAUCAGAUAUGCUGUUGACAUGCCACAGGUACCUUCAAUUCAUUUUUUGGCCAUUUCUUUUGAAAUAAACUUGAACUUCUUAGAUCACAUUGAGUUAUAGAUGGUUUAUUUGUUUAUCUAUUCAUUGUAUCUGAUGAACUCCGCAUUGGCAUUGACACCUACCAAAGGUGUGUGGAGUUUUUUUUUCCCGUUUCUUUUACUCAACAUGGCAAUACUCAAUUUCUAUUAUGACUAUGAUGCUUGGGUGCAUGAGUUUAGAAAACUUUCUUUCCUCAGCAAUAAUGCUAAGAGCAAACUGAAACCUUUAGAAACAAUAACGGAUGAUCAACAACACUAUAAUAUAUUUACAAUUGAGGCUGAUUUGACUAACCCUUUUUUGUGUUUCAUGGGGUUCACAUGAAACUGA